CCUACGGGUGGCAGCAGUGGGGAAUAUUGGGCAAUGGGCGAAAGCCUGACCCAGCAACGCCGCGUGAAGGAAGCAGGCUUUCGGGUUGUAAACUUCUUUUUACAGGGACGAGCAGAAGACGGUACCUGUCGAAUAAGCCACGGCUACCUACGUGCCAGCAGCCGCGUUAAUACGAAGGUGGCAAGCGUUGUCCGGAUUUACUGGUUGUAAAGGGCGUGUAGCCGGGCUGACAAGUCAGAUGUGAAAUCCGGGGGCUCAACCCCCGAACUGCAUUUAAAACUGUUGGUCUUGAGUAUCUGAGAGGCAGGCGGAAUUGCUGGGGUAGCGGUGAAAUGCGUAGAUAUUAGGAGGAACACCAGUGGUGAAGGCGGCCUGCUGGACGAAAACUGACGGUGAGGCGCGAAAGCGUGGGGAGCAAACAGGAUUAGAUACCCGGGUAGUC
RNAcentral lists this ribosomal RNA (442 nucleotides) under uncultured bacterium. Its description in RNAcentral is "partial 16S ribosomal RNA". It matches the Rfam family "Bacterial small subunit ribosomal RNA", at positions 338 to 795 of the family's 1533-position model. The record is from RNAcentral.